ACGCUGGCGGCGGCUUACACAUGCAAGUCGAGCGGGCGUAGCAAUACGUCAGCGGCAGACGGGUGAGUAACGCGUGGGAACGUACCUUUUGGUUCGGAACAACCCAGGGAAACUUGGGCUAAUACCGGAUAAGCCCUUACGGGGAAAGAUUUAUCGCCGAAAGAUCGGCCCGCGUCUGAUUAGCUAGUUGGUGAGGUAAUGGCUCACCAAGGCGACGAUCAGUAGCUGGUCUGAGAGGAUGAUCAGCCACAUUGGGACUGAGACACGGCCCAAACUCCUACGGGAGGCAGCAGUGGGGAAUAUUGGACAAUGGGCGCAAGCCUGAUCCAGCCAUGCCGCGUGAGUGAUGAAGGCCCUAGGGUUGUAAAGCUCUUUUGUGCGGGAAGAUAAUGACGGUACCGCAAGAAUAAGCCCCGGCUAACUUCGUGCCAGCAGCCGCGGUAAUACGAAGGGGGCUAGCGUUGCUCGGAAUCACUGGGCGUAAAGGGUGCGUAUGCGGGUCUUUAAGUCAGGGGUGAAAUCCUGGAGCUCAACUCCAGAACUGCCUUUGAUACUG
RNAcentral lists this ribosomal RNA (556 nucleotides) under uncultured bacterium. RNAcentral's name for it is "bacterial SSU rRNA". It matches the Rfam family "Bacterial small subunit ribosomal RNA", at positions 33 to 635 of the family's 1533-position model. The record is from RNAcentral.